Molecule: transfer RNA, 74 nt
Filed under: Pseudomonadota bacterium
Lineage: Bacteria; Pseudomonadati; Pseudomonadota
Also listed under: 1 other name
Description: tRNA-Val
Rfam family: tRNA
About the family: Transfer RNA (tRNA) molecules are approximately 80 nucleotides in length.
Source: RNAcentral
GGGCGGUUAGCUCAGUCGGUUAGAGCGCCUCCCUUACACGGAGGAGGCCACAGGUUCGAGUCCUGUACCGCCCA